ACAGAGGCGUGGUCUGUCGCUUGACGCGGCCAAAGGAUCAGGCGUCAAGAGGAAAGUCCGGGCACCACAGAGCAACAUCCUUUCUAACGGAAAGCUGUCGGCAACGGCAGGGACAAUGUAACAGAAAACAACCGCCGGGAGCAAGUCUUCCGGCAAGGGUGAAAAGGCGGGGUAAGAGCCCACCGCUCGCGGCGGAAUCCGCGGGGCCGUACAUCCGAUGCGGUGCAAGGCCAAAUAUACCGGCAGUCAAGGGUGGCUCGCCCGUUGCCGGGGGGUAGGCUGCUAAAUUCCGUAAGCAAUUGCGGAGUCAGAUAAAUGACAGACGCAGGCUUUAUGCCUGUACAUAACCCGGCUUACAGCGCCUCUGUUCCC
This 372-nucleotide RNase P RNA is filed under the name Muribaculaceae bacterium. RNAcentral describes it as "RNase P RNA component class A". It matches the Rfam family "Bacterial RNase P class A". From Rfam's summary of the family: Ribonuclease P (RNase P) is a ubiquitous endoribonuclease, found in archaea, bacteria and eukarya as well as chloroplasts and mitochondria. The record is from RNAcentral. Lineage: Bacteria; Pseudomonadati; Bacteroidota; Bacteroidia; Bacteroidales; Muribaculaceae.